RNAcentral lists this ribosomal RNA (253 nucleotides) under uncultured bacterium. Its description in RNAcentral is "partial 16S ribosomal RNA". It matches the Rfam family "Bacterial small subunit ribosomal RNA", at positions 524 to 776 of the family's 1533-position model. The record is from RNAcentral.
AACGUAGGAGACGAGCGUUAUCCGGAUUUACUGGGCGUAAAGCGUGUGCAGGCGGCUCGGCAAGUUGGAUGUGAAAUCUCCCGGCUCAACUGGGAGAGGUCGUUCAAUACUACCAAACUUGAGGUCAUCAGAGGAAGGCGGAAUUCCGGGUGUAGUGGUGAAAUGCGUAGAUAUCCGGAGGAACACCAGUGGCGAAGGCGGCCUUCUGGGAUGAUCCUGACGCUCAGACACGAAAGCUAGGGGAGCGAACGGG